This 74-nucleotide transfer RNA is filed under the name Parcubacteria group bacterium SW_6_46_9. Its description in RNAcentral is "tRNA-Lys". It matches the Rfam family "tRNA". From Rfam's summary of the family: Transfer RNA (tRNA) molecules are approximately 80 nucleotides in length. Their secondary structure includes four short double-helical elements and three loops (D, anti-codon, and T loops). The record is from RNAcentral.
CCGUCCGUAGCUCAGACUGGUAGAGCAGCUGCCUCUUAAGCAGACGGUCGUAGGUUCAAAUCCUGCCGGACGGA